UUUGUGGGCACAUAAAGGAAAUUUUAUGCAUGCUUCAAUCUAUAUUUUAAGUUUGACCAUACCUAACACGCCUAUCAACAGUAGUCAUUUUAGUAUAAUGAGAAUAUGUGAAUUUUUUCCUUUUAUUUAUUUUCAAAAUAUGAUUUAAGGGUAUGCCUUUAAUAGAAAUAGAAAAUAAUAAAAAGAAAUAAGAAUAGUGACAGAGUAAAAGCAAGAGAGACAUGAAGAUGUUUUUCAUAUAUAGGUUUCUUACAUUUCAUUUUUUUUGUGACUGAAUGUAUUGCAGUUCUUAUUUUGAUCCUUGAGAGUGCAUAUUGUUAUUAGCAGACACUGUCAGCUGGUGAAAAGGGCACAGAUCCGGAGACUUAGGGAGCUUAGGUUUUAAACCUGGCUCUCUUGUAAAAGAAAAAAGAAACAAAAAAAUCAUUUGGUAAUAUGUGCAUCCCUCCAUCUUUCUUCUUGACUAUAGUUCUGUGUUUUUUGAGAUGAGUCUCACUCUGUUGCCAGGUUGGAGUGCAGUGAUGCGAUCUCGGCUCACUGCAACCUCUGCCUCCAAGGUUCAAGUGGUUCUCCUGCCUCUCACCUCGAGUAGCUGCGACUACAGGCGCGGGCCAACAUGCCCAGCUAAUUUUCAUAUUUUUAAUAGAGACGGGGUUUCACCAUGUUGGCCAGGAUGGUCUCGAUUCCUUUACUUCGUGAUCUGCCCACUUUGGCUUCCCAAAGUGUUGGGAUUACAGGUGUGAGCCACCGCGCCCGGCCAGUUCUGUGAUUUUAAUAAGCCUUUAAACCUCAGCCUCAGGUAGCUCUUUUGUUGAGCGGUCAUUUCCUCACCAUGUGAUUGUACAACAUUGAUAAACAUAUAAUCUGUUAUUUAUUUUAGCUAUUCAAAAAACAUUUUUAGGCUCCUCCCGCGAAUCGCAGCCCCUGGGACUAGGGUUGCUCCAUCUGUGCUCCACCUCGCAAUGACUUCCUACAGCUAUCUCCAGUCGUCCGCAACCUCGUCCUUCCGGGCCAUGCGCUGCAGCUCCGUACAUUUUGGGCCGCGCGUCGCGUUUUGCGCGCUCAGCAAGCACCGGGGGUUCCAGCGGCCGCGGCGUGUCUGUGUCCUCCGCCUGCUUCCUGUCCUCGUCCUCCUCGAGGGGCUACGGCGGCGUCCUGGCCGCGUUCAACGGGCUGCUGGCGGGCAAGGAGCUCACCAGGCAUAACCUCAAGGACCGCCUGGCCUCCUACCUGGACAAGGUGCGCGCCCUGGCGGCAGCCAACGGCGAACUGGAGAUGAAGAUCUGCAACUUGUACCAGAAGCAGGGGCCCGGGCCCUUCCGCGACUAUAGCCACUACUGCAAGACCAUUCAGGACUUGCGGGACAAGGUUCUUGGUGCCACCAUUGAGAACUCCAGGAUUGUCCGGCAGAUCGACAGCGCCCGUCUAGCUGCAGAUGACUUGCGAACCAAGUUGGAGACGGAGCAGGCUCUGUGCAUGAGCGUGGAGGUCAUCAACGGCCUGUGCAGGGUGCUGGACGAACUGACCCUGGCCAUGACCGACCUGGAGAUGGAGAUCGAAGGCCUGAAGGAAUAGCUGGCCUACCUAUAGAAGAACUAUGAAGAGGAAAUCAGUGCGCUGAGGGGCUAAGGGGGAGGCCAGGUCAGUAUGGAGGUGGAUUCGGCUCCGGACACCGAUCUCACCAAAAUCCUAAGUGACAUGCGAAGCCAAUAGGAGGUCAUGGCCGAGAAGAACUAUAAGGAUGCUGAAGACUGGUUCACCAGCUGGACUGAAUAAUUGAACUGGUAGGUCGUGGGCCACAUGGAGCAGCUCCAGAUGAGCAGUCUGAAGUCGCAGACCUGUGGCACACUCUCCAGGGUCUUGAGAUGGAGCUGCAGUCACAGCUGAGCAUGAAAGCUGCCUUGGAAGGCACACUGGCAGAAACCAAGGCUCCCUUUGGAGCCCAGCUGGUGCAGAUCCAGGCGCUGAUCAGCGGUAACGAAGCCCAGCUGGGCGAUGUUCGAGCUGAUAGAGAGCGGCAGAAUCAGGAGUACCAGUGGCUCAUGGACAUCAAAUCGCGGCUGGAGCAGGAGAUCACCACCUAACGCAGCUUGCUCAAGGGCCGGGAAGAUCACACUACAACAGCCUGUCUGCCUCCAAGGUCCUCUGAAGCUGCAGGCUCUGGGGCUUCUGCUGUCCUUCGGAGGGUGUCUCCUGGGUAGGGGGAUGGGAAGGAAGGGACCCUUACCCCUAGCUCUUCCCUGACCUGCCAAUAAAAUGUUAUGGUCCAAGG
This is a non-coding RNA of Callithrix jacchus (white-tufted-ear marmoset), 2272 nucleotides long. The record is from RefSeq and is a predicted model, not a curated record. NCBI's taxonomy places the organism in Eukaryota, Metazoa, Chordata, Mammalia, Primates, Cebidae.